GUAUGUGAGGGUGAUCUGGCUGCAACAUCUGUUAUCCCACUGAUCUUCAGGGUUGAUUCUGCUGAUAUGACUGACUAGACAGGUGUCCCCAUCCUCCCUCACCAUUCCAUGUGCAUCCCUCCUGAAGCUGUGUGUUCAGCCAAAGAGGAUGACCACCCCCAACAGAGGAGGACCAUUUCCUCAGUCAAGGGUACACGAGUAGCUGUGCUCCCCUGCUAGAACCUCCAAACAAGCUCUUAAGAGUACAUAAGAAAGAAAGAACACUGAAUGCUGCAAGGGAAAGCUGCCAACUUACACAUAGAGGGAAACCCAUUGAAAGAACUGCAGAUUUCU
RNAcentral lists this small nuclear RNA (333 nucleotides) under Heterocephalus glaber (naked mole-rat). Its description in RNAcentral is "7SK RNA". It matches the Rfam family "7SK RNA". Rfam says of the family: 7SK was discovered as an abundant small nuclear RNA in the mid-70s but a possible function has only recently been suggested. The record is from Rfam by way of RNAcentral. Lineage: Eukaryota; Metazoa; Chordata; Mammalia; Rodentia; Bathyergidae.